This 486-nucleotide ribosomal RNA is filed under the name uncultured bacterium. RNAcentral's name for it is "partial 16S ribosomal RNA". It matches the Rfam family "Bacterial small subunit ribosomal RNA", at positions 30 to 507 of the family's 1533-position model. The record is from RNAcentral.
AUUGAACGCUGGCGGCAUGCCUUACACAUGCAAGUCGAACGGCAGCACGGGUGCUUGCACCUGGUGGCGAGUGGCGAACGGGUGAGUAAUACAUCGGAACAUGUCCUGUAGUGGGGGAUAGCCCGGCGAAAGCCGGAUUAAUACCGCAUACGAUCUACGGAUGAAAGCGGGGGACCUUCGGGCCUCGCGCUAUAGGGUUGGCCGAUGGCUGAUUAGCUAGUUGGUGGGGUAAAGGCCUACCAAGGCGACGAUCAGUAGCUGGUCUGAGAGGACGACCAGCCACACUGGGACUGGGACACGGCCCAGACUCCUACGGGAGGCAGCAGUGGGGAAUUUUGGACAAUGGGCGAAAGCCUGAUCCAGCAAUGCCGCGUGUGUGAAGAAGGCCUUCGGGUUGUAAAGCACGUUUGUCCGGAAAGAAAUCCUUGGCCCUAAUACGGUCGGGGGAUGACGGUACCGGAAGAAUAAGCACCGGCUAACUACGUG